UACGUAGGUCCCGAGCGUUGUCCGGAUUCACUGGGUGUAAAGGGCGCGUAGGCGGUCAAGUGUGUCUCAUAUGAAAGCUCAGGGCUCAACUCUGAGAGUGCGUGGGAGACUACUUGGCUGGAGGACGGUAGAGGGAAGUGGAAUUCCCGGUGUAGCGGUAAAAUGCGUAGAUAUCGGGAGGAACACCAGUGGCGAAGGCGGCUUCCUGGGCCGAUCCUGACGCUGAGGCGCGAAAGCCAGGGGAGCGAACCGG
RNAcentral lists this ribosomal RNA (253 nucleotides) under uncultured bacterium. RNAcentral's name for it is "partial 16S ribosomal RNA". It matches the Rfam family "Bacterial small subunit ribosomal RNA", at positions 524 to 776 of the family's 1533-position model. The record is from RNAcentral.